AGUGAACGCUGGCGGUAGGCCUAACACAUGCAAGUCGAACGGCAGCACAGUAAGAGCUUGCUCUUACGGGUGGCGAGUGGCGGACGGGUGAGGAAUACAUCGGAAUCUACUUUUUCGUGGGGGAUAACGUAGGGAAACUUACGCUAAUACCGCAUACGACCUACGGGUGAAAGCAGGGGAUCUUCGGACCUUGCGCGAUUGAAUGAGCCGAUGUCGGAUUAGCUAGUUGGCGGGGUAAAGGCCCACCAAGGCGACGAUCCGUAGCUGGUCUGAGAGGAUGAUCAGCCACACUGGAACUGAGACACGGUCCAGACUCCCACGGGAGGCAGCAGUGGGGAAGAUUGGACAAUGGGCGCAAGCCUGAUCCAGCCAUACCGCGUGGGUGAAGAAGGCCUUCGGGUUGUAAAGCCCUUUUGUUGGGAAAGAAAAGCAGCAGGUUAAUACCCCGCUGUUCUGACGGUACCCAAAGAAUAAGCACCGGCUAACUUCGUG
This 492-nucleotide ribosomal RNA is filed under the name uncultured bacterium. RNAcentral's name for it is "partial 16S ribosomal RNA". It matches the Rfam family "Bacterial small subunit ribosomal RNA", at positions 29 to 507 of the family's 1533-position model. The record is from RNAcentral.